This 655-nucleotide unclassified non-coding RNA is filed under the name Cistella typhae. Its description in RNAcentral is "sequence contains ITS1, 5.8S rRNA gene, ITS2, 28S rRNA gene". The stretch from base 357 to 510 matches the Rfam family "5.8S ribosomal RNA". The record is from RNAcentral. Lineage: Eukaryota; Fungi; Ascomycota; Leotiomycetes; Helotiales.
ACCUGCGGAAGGAUCAUUAAUAAGUCGUCCCAUGCCCGUUCGUCGGGUAGGACAGAUUCCUCGCAUUUGGAUCCGGGUAGCCUAGGAGGCCGGAUUUCUGCUUAUAGGGACGGAGGGGCUCACGGGCCCCCGGGACAGCCUUGCGCUUGCGCGCGGCACCCGUCAACAAGUCCGACCUAUUUGUAAGCUUGCGAUGGUGGGUAGGAAUACCGCCUUAAGGAGUUGUGAUUUAAACCCGUGUCUACCUUCUUUGUUGCUUUGGCGGGCCGCCGCAAGGCGUUGGCUCCGGCUGACCGCGCCCGCCAGAGGACCCAAACUCUUCUGUUAAUAACGUCUGAGUACUAUAUAAUAUUUAAAACUUUCAACAACGGAUCUCUUGGUUCUGGCAUCGAUGAAGAACGCAGCGAAAUGCGAUAAGUAAUGUGAAUUGCAGAAUUCAGUGAAUCAUCGAAUCUUUGAACGCACAUUGCGCCCCUUGGUAUUCCGAGGGGCAUGCCUGUUCGAGCGUCAUUAUAACCAAUCAAGCCCAGCUUGGUAUUGGGGUUCGCGGUUUCGCGGCCCUUAAAAUCAGUGGCGGUGCCGCCCGGCUCUAAGCGUAGUAACUUUCUCGCUAUGGGGUCCGGGCGGUCUCCUCUAAAACUCCCCCAUUUUACGG